CAGAGUAGAGUGCCCUGCGUUAAGUGUCUGUCAGACGGGGAGUUGCUGACAGAACGAAAAGUGAUGCUUUUGCAUACUUGCGGUUCGGCGCUCGCAUCCCGCUG
RNAcentral lists this non-coding RNA (104 nucleotides) under uncultured Ruminococcus sp. RNAcentral describes it as "THF riboswitch". It matches the Rfam family "THF (Tetrahydrofolate) riboswitch aptamer". From Rfam's summary of the family: THF riboswitch presents a pseudoknot that joins P1-P2 and the loop of P3 and two THF binding. The record is from RNAcentral. Lineage: Bacteria; Bacillati; Bacillota; Clostridia; Eubacteriales; Oscillospiraceae.